RNAcentral lists this ribosomal RNA (460 nucleotides) under uncultured bacterium. RNAcentral describes it as "partial 16S ribosomal RNA". It matches the Rfam family "Bacterial small subunit ribosomal RNA", at positions 338 to 795 of the family's 1533-position model. The record is from RNAcentral.
CCUACGGGUGGCAGCAGUGAGGAAUAUUGGUCAAUGGCCGUAAGGCUGAACCAGCCAAGUAGCGUGAGGGAAGACUGCCCUAUGGGUUGUAAACCUCUUUUAUGCGGGGAUAAAGGUGUCCACGUGUGGAUGUUUGCAGGUACAGCAUGAAUAAGGCCCGGCUAAUUCCGUGCAAGCAGCCGCGGUAAUACGGAGGGUCCGGGCGUUAUCCGGAUUUAUUGGGUUUAAAGGGAGCGUAGGCCGGUGUGUAAGCGUGCCGUGAAAUUUUGAGGCUCAACCAUGAGGGGGCGGCGGGAACUGGGGACCUUGAGUGCGCGGGAGGCAGGCGGAAUGCGUGGUGUAGCGGUGAAAUGCUUAGAUAUCACGAAGAACCCCGAUGGCGAAGGCAGCCUGCCGCAGCGUUACUGACGCUGAGGCUCGAAAGCGCGGGUAUCGAACAGGAUUAGAUACCCCAGUAGUC